Molecule: long non-coding RNA, 2981 nt
Organism: Anas platyrhynchos (mallard)
Lineage: Eukaryota; Metazoa; Chordata; Aves; Anseriformes; Anatidae
Source: RefSeq, a predicted model, not a curated record
CAGGGCUGGUAGCCGUAGUAGCCGGUGAUGCGCAGGAUCCUCUCCUCGAUGGAGGUGAGCCCCACGGAGGCGCUGGUGAGGUCCUCCACGGAGCGGGACCACUUGAGGUCCUCCUUGAUGGCCUCGUCCACCACCAGGAAAGGAAAUGGAGAAGUCCCAGAAAGUUACCAGGGAUAGCAAACCGUGAACGUUAUGGAGGCGUUCCUGAUAACUACAGGCAUUUGGCAGCGUGACGGAGUGCCCUGCCAGGCACGCACGCCAAUGCAGGAAGGUGACUUGGACUAAGCUACUGUCAUUUCAAGGUGUAACUGGAAUGAUGGAUGACCGUUAAUACUUUCUCCUGUCAUGCAACAACAGACCCCAAAAGGACUGUAGGAGGUGUCAAAGACAGAAAAUACAGAACAGCAGAUCUCUUCAGUGUCCCGUAUUUUGAGAAAUGCCAGAGGCAUAAAUCCCAAAGCCAAUCUGUGCUCUACAUAUACUUGGUAUCUGCCAUCAUGUUGUGCCAUUUCAAGAAAUUUAUACCUGAAAUAAAGGACUACAAAACAAAAAUUAAGGAAAGAGUAGUUACCAGUCCUGCAAGUUUUCUGCAUUUGCCUAUCAUUCCUACUUUGUCCUUUUCACUUCACUGACUGUAGUAUGAGUUUGUCUGCAAGGAGAAUCAAACAAUCUGGGAAUAAGGAGAAGGGGGAAAUUAUGGCAACAGCUAUCUACCCUGGCAAGCCCAGAAAGACCACCAAAAGAAAUAAUUGAAAAGCAGCCAUGAAGAUUUAGGGGAGAGAACGAAAGACUCCGGACAGAACAAGAAAGAAAACGUAAUGGAUUUGUGCUCAGGGAAGGCUUUAGUGAAUCAGAACACAACAUUCAUACUGCAUUUAAAGUUGCUUAUCUGGAAAGUGUGCUAGCCCCAAGAAAAAUCUGAUAAUUCUCACCCUUCAGAUAAGCUUUUGUUUUUCUAGUUUUGAAGGUGGUUUUUAAAGUUGUCAUUUUUUGAUGCAGGAAAUGCGUUGCUAGCCUUGGACUGCGCAGCUUUCUUGGCAAGGUAAUUUCUGAAGAGAAUAGAACACCUGGAGACUGAUUUGACAGGCAAUUUCUGUUGUAUAAAAUUAAUGGCAGCUGUUUGAAGCUGCUCAUGUGUCUGAAACACUAAGAAUCCCACAGCCGAACUUUUGGUCUAGCACAGAAGGUCAAGGAGUGGUUCUGUACUGUGAGGCGUAGCCACUUCCAUAUAUGCAUUUUGAAUCUAGUUCAUAAGUUAACCACACAUAUUUUCCAGUUCUUCAGGAAAUAAUUUUGGAAGCUAUUCCACAUUCUGCUACAUCAACCCAGACCCCAGUUCAACCACAUCUCCCUACAAUAUACAAAAAGGUGUUUUCUCUUAUCCUUUUAUCACCUACACUGGAUAUAUUUCAUCAUAUCAUAGCUAAGAACAGUGUAUCACUGCACUUCUUUUUCCAGCUGCUUUUUGAAAUUAAAAGACUUUGUAAAAAUAAAAAUAAAAAUAAAUAAAUCUGUUAACAUUACCAGUUUGUAGUGAGAAGAAGAACAGCAAGAACUACAGGCAGACAAUUCACAGAGGUACUAUGCAUGUCCUUCGUACCGUUCAUUUGUAUACAGGGUCAUCCCUAUGUACUGCAUAUCCACGUAAGGGCAGAUGUUAGUACUGCUUUGAGUCUCAAGCAAUACCUCUUCCUCAUAUAAAACUAUUUAGCAAUGGAAAAUGGAUUCUUUCAUCCUUUGCUUAGUAGAAUCUUUUAUUGUGGUGAUAAAUUUGGAACAAUGAGAUUAUUUGAUUAAACUUCCUCAGUCACUGCUGAAUGGACUACCCUGCUUGUAGAAUUAAUAAAAAGGCCAAGACACCUAAUUAAUAUGCUUGGUAUUGGUCUAGAUUGGCAGCAGUGCAGUUUAAUCCUGCCAAAAGGUAUUUGCUGAGGAAAGUCAAAAAGCUUUUAAAUCACUCUUAAAGGUUGAGUCAGGAGAAGAUGCCCUUGCAAAAGCUGUAAUCCUGAACUGUCCAGAAGAAUUUCCUCUUCUCCCAGGGCUGCUUACUGCACAGAACAAUGUUAAAUAACAGUUUUUCCUUGCAUUAUUCAAUGCAUCAAGCUUGAUUUUGAUGUGCAUUUUAAUUGGUAAGCUAGAUACAAAAGCUUAAGCUGGAAAAAGCAACAUGUGUUUGCAUUCUCUAGCAUUUUUAGUAGCUCAUGGUAUAGUAGUAUUACCUAUUCUAAACUCUAAAGGCAAAUUUUCAUGUACAGUAAUUGAUGGAGACCCACCACAUCACUUUCACCAGUGCCUCACAUUUCAUAUAAACAUGUACAAAUCAGAAAGACAUGGAGAAAGUGAAUGAAAAGCACCAGUUGUACAUAAUCACGCCUACCAAAAAUAUCACAAAGAUCAAGACGAAUGUCAUAACUGCUGUUUAAAAUCAUGCAUCUAUGGUAAACAUAACUACAGAAAGUUGUUAUCAAGUAAAUUGCCUCAUAAUUGUCAUACGGAAGAGCCUAUAAAACCAAUCUCAAACUUGAUUUCAACCUGUUUUGGAAACACUGUUUAGAUUUACUCACUCUGGUAUUUAUGUGCUCUGUGGCGAACAUCCCACAUAAUGAAAAUUUGCUUUACAAUAGUUUUUCUACAUGGAAAUAGUCUUUUGCAUAUAGACCAGAGCAGCUGCAUUUCUCAAAAAGAAGAGCCCAAGCAAGUUUCAAUUCAGUAAAAUUGAAAGCAAUGUUCUCCCCCAACUUGAAUUGAUCUAAUUUAUUUCAUGCUGGUGAAACUCCGCUGGCUUGAUGGAGUUGUCUCCAAUGUACAACUUCUGAAUACACAUUAGCCACUUAUUUUGAAGAGUGGCAUGAUUUUAGUGAUCAGUCACUUCAUCGUAUUUCCAAAAAAAAAAAAACAUGACUCCAAAAAAAGUUUUUAUUGCAGGUAUCAACUUCUAAUUUUGUUUAACACAAAAGCACAUAAAGCUGCUCAAAAAUCUG